AGUGAACGCUGGCGGUAGGUCUAACACACGCAAGUCGAACGGCAGCACAGUAAGAGCUUGCUCUUACGGGAGGCGAGUAGCAGACGGGUGAGGAAUACAUCGGAAUCUACUUUUUCGUGGGGGAUAACGUAGGGAAACUUACGCUAAUACCGCAUACGACCUACGGGUGAAAGCAGGGGAUCUUCGGACCUUGCGCGAUUGAAUGAGUCGAUGACGGAUUAGCUAGUUAGCGGGUUAAAGGCCCACCAAGGCUAAGAUCCGUAGCUGGUCUGAGAGGAUGAUCAGCCACACUGAGACUGAGACACGGUCCAGACUCCUACGGGAGGCAGCAGUGGGGAAUAUUGGACAAAGGGCGCAAGCCUGCGCCAGCCAUACCGCGUGGGUGAAGAAGGCCUUCAGGUUUUAAAGCCCUUUUGUUGGGAAAGAAAAGCAGCAGGUUAAUACCCCGCUGUUCUGACGGUACCCAAAGAAUAAGCACCGGCUAACUUGGUG
This 492-nucleotide ribosomal RNA is filed under the name uncultured bacterium. RNAcentral describes it as "partial 16S ribosomal RNA". It matches the Rfam family "Bacterial small subunit ribosomal RNA", at positions 29 to 507 of the family's 1533-position model. The record is from RNAcentral.